RNAcentral lists this ribosomal RNA (288 nucleotides) under uncultured bacterium. Its description in RNAcentral is "partial 16S ribosomal RNA". It matches the Rfam family "Bacterial small subunit ribosomal RNA", at positions 355 to 660 of the family's 1533-position model. The record is from RNAcentral.
UAGGGAAUAUUAGUAAUGGGCGAAAGCCUGAACUAGCAACGCCGCGUGUGCGAAGAAGGCCUUCGGGUUGUAAAGCACUUUUUGAGAGGAUGAGGAAGGACGGUACUCUCAGAAUAAGUCUCGGCUAACUACGUGCCAGCAGCCGCGGUAACACGUAGGAGGCGAACGUUAUCCGGAUUUACUGGGCGUAAAGCGCGUGUAGGUGGUUUGGUAAGUAGGGCGUGAAAGCUCCUGGCUCAACUGGGAGAGGCCGUUCUAAACUGCCGAACUAGGGGAUGGUAGAGGGAG